Molecule: ribosomal RNA, 163 nt
Filed under: Lagotis brevituba
Lineage: Eukaryota; Viridiplantae; Streptophyta; Magnoliopsida; Lamiales; Plantaginaceae
Description: 5.8S ribosomal RNA
Rfam family: 5.8S ribosomal RNA
About the family: 5.8S ribosomal RNA (5.8S rRNA) is a component of the large subunit of the eukaryotic ribosome. It is transcribed by RNA polymerase I as part of the 45S precursor that also contains 18S and 28S rRNA.
Source: RNAcentral
UCUAAACGACUCUCGGCAACGGAUAUCUCGGCUCUCGCAUCGAUGAAGAACGUAGCGAAAUGCGAUACUUGGUGUGAAUUGCAGAAUCCCGUGAACCAUCGAGUCUUUGAACGCAAGUUGCGCCCGAAGCCAUUCGGCCGAGGGCACGCCUGCCUGGGCGUCA